RNAcentral lists this unclassified non-coding RNA (202 nucleotides) under Hevea brasiliensis (rubber tree). The record is from RNAcentral. Lineage: Eukaryota; Viridiplantae; Streptophyta; Magnoliopsida; Malpighiales; Euphorbiaceae.
GCCUUUAAUGGCAGCAGUAACCAGAAAUUAGCAGUAUUCUCCGAAAAGGGUCUCUCAGAAAUAGAGAAAAGAAGAAACAAUAAGAUUUUUUUUUGAGAAGAAGAGUCCCUGGUUAUUUGAUGUCGCUGAGAAUUAAAGCAGUUGUUGAUAAAUUCGUACAAGAAUUGAAAGAGGCAUUAGAUGCUGAUAUACAAGAUAGGAU